Cotesia glomerata is the source of this 433-nucleotide long non-coding RNA. RefSeq lists it as uncharacterized. The transcript is spliced from 3 exons. The record is from RefSeq and is a predicted model, not a curated record. Lineage: Eukaryota; Metazoa; Arthropoda; Insecta; Hymenoptera; Braconidae.
UUAUUAAAUAUUCGUUUUAGGGUAAAUGCACCAAUUAUUGACCGAUUAAGGUUUUCUUUUUCUGUACUAAGCUAUAAAAAAUCUAUUAACCUACUAAAAACAAUUUGUAAUGGAUUUUAUUAAAGUUAAAUACUUAAUUAAUAAUAAUUAAUAACUAUUUAUAAUAAAAAUUAACAAAAUUAUAUUAAUUUUGAUAUUUGAAUCUUGAAAUACUAAAAUCACCAAUUAUUGACCGAUGAAACCCAAUAAAUGACCGACCGUUCUCCAAUUAAUUGACCGCUGAAAUAAUUAUAAGUAAUUUUGUAAACUACAUGUAUGUAAUUAAAUUUAUGCAGUACUUUUGAAGUAUUAACGACAUCUUUAACAAAACUAAACAUACAAUAUAAUUUUAAAUCGUACUUUUUUAUAAAAUAAUAUAAAUAAUAGCAAUAAU